CACGCCGUAAACGAUGAGUGCUAGUUGUUUGGGGCUAUCCAGCCCUAAGUGACGCAGCAAACGCAUUAAGCACUCCGCCUGGGGAGUACGACCGCAAGGUUGAAACUCAAAGGAAUUGACGGGGGCCCGCACAAGCGGUGGAGCAUGUGGUUUAAUUCGAAGCAACGCGAAGAACCUUACCAGGUCUUGACAUACCAGUGCUAUUCUUAGAGAUAAGAAGUUACUUCGGUACACUGGAUACAGGUGG
Molecule: ribosomal RNA, 247 nt
Filed under: uncultured bacterium
Lineage: Bacteria
Description: partial 16S ribosomal RNA
Rfam family: Bacterial small subunit ribosomal RNA
Source: RNAcentral